This 81-nucleotide microRNA precursor is filed under the name Cebus imitator (Panamanian white-faced capuchin). RNAcentral's name for it is "miRNA (ENSCCAG00000012016.1)". The record is from RNAcentral. Lineage: Eukaryota; Metazoa; Chordata; Mammalia; Primates; Cebidae.
UAGGUUGGUGCAAAAGUAAUUGCAGUUUUUGCCAUUUUAAAAAUAGUAAAAACCACAAUUACUUUAGUACCCAACCUAAUA